This is a long non-coding RNA of Mustela putorius furo (domestic ferret), 437 nucleotides long. The record is from Ensembl. NCBI's taxonomy places the organism in Eukaryota, Metazoa, Chordata, Mammalia, Carnivora, Mustelidae.
CACUAAUAACAAGCUACCGUUAACAACAGCUGCUUUUUGUUUUUCUGUUUCCAGCCUCCAUACCUUCAUGACAUCCAUCUAUCUGACAACUGGGCUGGGAGAGUAGUGGUGUCUAUACUGCAUAAGUGAAGAAAAUGAGACUCAGGCUAGGUACACUGCUCGAUGAUGUACAAUUACGUGUAGUGGUGAAUGUGAGAUUAAACCUUGGAUUUGUCUGGCUCCGACAUCUCCAUGCCUUCCACAACAGUAAAACUCAGAAGACAGAGAGGAUGGUACUUCCAGAUGACCUGGUGACAAUGGAGCACUGCCAAGUAAACCCCAAGAAAAUGUACAGACUCAACGUGAAGUUUUGUUGGCUUCUGAGAAAGUGGUAAGUUUGUAGAUAUCAUCACAUAAUUAAAUGUAUCCUUAAGAACUAAUGUGUUAGCUAGGCAUUU